RNAcentral lists this ribosomal RNA (775 nucleotides) under uncultured Neocallimastigales. RNAcentral describes it as "partial large subunit ribosomal RNA". It matches the Rfam family "Eukaryotic large subunit ribosomal RNA", at positions 20 to 616 of the family's 3401-position model. The record is from RNAcentral. Lineage: Eukaryota; Fungi; Neocallimastigomycota; Neocallimastigomycetes; Neocallimastigales.
UACUAGAGUAGCACUCGCAUAUCAAUAAGCGGAGGAAAAGAAACUAACAAGGAUUCCCCUAGUAACGGCGAGUGAAGCGGGAAGAGCUCAAAUUUGAAAUCUUAAAGGGUUUCCCUUUACGAAUUGUAGUUUAAAGAAGUGUUUUCUGUUGAGGUUUUGGUAAAAGUUCUUUGGAAUAGGACAUCAUAGAGGGUGAGAAUCCCGUAUUUGACCUUUACUUUCAACUUUGUGAUACACUUUCAAAGAGUCGGAUUGUUUGGGAAUGCAGUCCAAAAUGGGUGGUAAACUUCAUCUAAAGCUAAAUAUUGGCGAGAGACCGAUAGCGAACAAGUACCGUGAGGGAAAGAUGAAAAGAACUUUGAAAAGAGAGUUAAACAGGUACGUGAAAUUGUCAAAAGGGAAGCGUUUGACACCAGUGUUGUUUUUCUGAAAAUCAAUUAAAGAACUGUUUAUGCUAAGCUGUUUAGACUUUAUCAGCUAUCUGUUUAGUUUUAGGCUUUUCUUUAAUGCACUUUUCAGUUAACAAGUCAACAUCAAUUUCUUUUGCUGUAAAAAAGCUUGAGGAGGGUGGCUUGAGAUUCGUCUUAAGUGUUUAUAGCCUCCUGCCUAUGCAGUCGGAGAGAUUGAGGUCUGCAGCGUAGAUCCUUCGGGGCUAAAUGCAUUUGUGCUAAGUUAUAGCAUUUUAUAGACAACUUGUUGACUAUGAUUUGUCUUGUAGCUUACUCGCUUAUGUUAUUUUACCUACGCUUAGGAUGUUGAGCGCAUGUCUCUCUCU